CAUUAAUCGAAAAUGACAAUCAGCUGUAAUUUAGUGCAUUAUUAGAUUAAUCAAGAAUCAACUAUAAGGACAUAUAAAAAAAUUGAAAAUGAAAAUCGGGGAAAAUUGAAAAUUGAAAAUCGAAAUCAAAGAGUCAUCAACCUGACAAAAUAGUUUAUAACAGCCAAAGGUCGCCAAUUUGUCUUCAACGCAGUGCGAAAAU
This 202-nucleotide long non-coding RNA is filed under the name Mytilus galloprovincialis (Mediterranean mussel). Lineage: Eukaryota; Metazoa; Mollusca; Bivalvia; Mytilida; Mytilidae. The record is from RNAcentral.